UACAGAGGUGGCGAGCGUUGUUCGGAUUUACUGGGCGUAAAGGGCGCGUAGGCGGCGCCAGCAGUCGAGUGUGAAAGCCCCGGGCUCAACCUGGGAGGUGCGCUCGAUACUCUGGUGCUGGAGUUCGGGAGAGGAGCGUGGAAUUCCCAGUGUAGAGGUGAAAUUCGUAGAUAUUGGGAAGAACACCGGUGGCGAAGGCGGCGCUCUGGACCGAGACUGACGCUGAGGCGCGAAAGCGUGGGGAGCAAAC
Molecule: ribosomal RNA, 250 nt
Filed under: uncultured bacterium
Lineage: Bacteria
Description: partial 16S ribosomal RNA
Rfam family: Bacterial small subunit ribosomal RNA
Source: RNAcentral